This 252-nucleotide ribosomal RNA is filed under the name uncultured bacterium. RNAcentral describes it as "partial 16S ribosomal RNA". It matches the Rfam family "Bacterial small subunit ribosomal RNA", at positions 524 to 776 of the family's 1533-position model. The record is from RNAcentral.
GACAGAGGUGCCGAGCGUUAGGCGGAAUCACUGGGCUUAAAGCGUGUGUAGGCGGGUCGUUAAGUGCCUUGUGAAAUCCCACAGCUCACCUGUGGAACUGCUUGGCAUACUGGCGAUCUUAGCCACUUAGGGGCAACCGGAACAAACGGUGGAGCGGUGAAAUGCGUAGAUAUCGUUUGGAACGCCAAUGGUGAAAACAGGUUGCUGGGAGUGUGCUGACGCUGAGACACGAAAGCCAGGGGAGCAAACGGG